Molecule: non-coding RNA, 57 nt
Organism: Dipodomys ordii (Ord's kangaroo rat)
Lineage: Eukaryota; Metazoa; Chordata; Mammalia; Rodentia; Heteromyidae
Source: Rfam
UGGCUCAGUGGUAGAGCACUUGCCUUGCAUGCAUGAGGCCUUGGGUUUGAUUCCUCA